GGCCCUAUAGCAUUAAUUGGUUAGAUCGUGAGCCUUUCAAGCUCAAGGAAUGAGUUCAAAUCUCGUUAGGGUCACCA
RNAcentral lists this transfer RNA (77 nucleotides) under Bacilli bacterium. RNAcentral describes it as "tRNA-Glu". It matches the Rfam family "tRNA". Rfam says of the family: Transfer RNA (tRNA) molecules are approximately 80 nucleotides in length. The record is from RNAcentral. Lineage: Bacteria; Bacillati; Bacillota; Bacilli.